This 3174-nucleotide ribosomal RNA is filed under the name Triticum aestivum (bread wheat). RNAcentral describes it as "partial small subunit ribosomal RNA". Lineage: Eukaryota; Viridiplantae; Streptophyta; Magnoliopsida; Poales; Poaceae. The record is from RNAcentral.
AUGCAGACACUCGAUUUUCCCAACAAGACAUACAGCAAGAUAUUGCACAUACCUUCCCUUGGCCUUGGUCUUGUGCUGCUGAUAUGCUUGGCCUCUCCUACCAGUUCCUGCACGGAGCAGGAGAAGGGCUCCCUUCUCCAGUUCCUUGGUGGGCUCUCACAAGAUGGUGGCCUCGCUGUGUCAUGGAAUAAUGGCUCGGAUUGCUGCCAGUGGGAAGGGAUCACCUGCAGCACAGAUGACACUGUUACAGAUGUCUUGCUGGCUUCUAGAAGUCUUCAGGGGCACAUCACACCUUCUCUUGGGAACCUCACUGGAUUGCUGCGCCUCGACCUGUCAAACAAUCUGCUAUCCGGUGGUCUACCGCAGGAACUGGUAUCCUCCAGCAGCAUCCUCAUCGUAGAUGUCAGCUUUAACCGUCUUGGAGGAGAGCUGCAUGAGUUGUCGUCUACCCAUGCCCGGCCACUGAAGGUACUGAACAUCUCGAGCAAUUUGUUUACAGGACAGUUUCCGUCCUCCACAUGGCAGGGGAUGAAAAAUCUGGUUGCACUCAAUGCCAGCAACAACAGCUUUACUGGGCAGCUACCAACUCAUUUCUGUGCCAGCUCGCCAUCCUUGGCAGUGCUCGAACUCUGCUACAACCAAUUCAGAGGGAGCAUUCCCCCACAACUUGGUAGCUGCUCCAUGCUCAGAGUGCUCAAGGUUGGCCACAACCACCUCAGUGGGAGUCUCCCGGACGAACUCUUCAAUGCUACCUUGUUAGAAUACGUCUCCUUCCCCGGGAACAGUUUACAAGGAACACUUGAAGGCUUGCAUUUUGGUAAACUCAGUAAUCUGGGUACUUUUGAUCUUGGAGAGAACAACAUCAGUGGCAAGAUUCCGGAGUCUAUAGGUCAUCUCAGGAGAUUGGAGGAACUCCAUUUAAACAACAACCACAUGUAUGGGGAGCUGCCAUCGAGUCUGACCAACUGCACAAAUCUCAUAACCAUUGACUUCAAGAGCAACAAUUUCAGCGGGAAACUCGCCAAGGUCAAUUUCUCCAACCUAUCCAAUCUAAAAACUAUAGAUCUUAUGUACAACAGCUUCAGUGGCGAAAUUCCAGAAAGCAUCUACUCAUGCAGCAACCUAAUUGCACUGCGUCUGUCUUCCAAUAAGUUCAAUGGCCAGCUGUCAGAAAAAAUAGGCAAUCUAAAGUCCCUCUCAUUCCUAUCACUUGCUAACAACACUCUUACAAAUAUCACAAGUGCACUUCAUAUCCUUAAGAGAUGUAGAAAACUUACAACCCUGCUUAUUGCGUUCAACUUCAGGGGAGAAAUCAUGCCAGAGGAUGACAUGAUUGAUGGUUUUGAAAAUCUUCAGUUUUUUAGUGUCGAUGGAUGCGGAUUGUUUGGACAAAUACCUCAAUGGAUAUCGAAGCUAGCAAAUUUAAAAAUAUUAAUCUUGUCUAACAAUCAACUCACUGGAUCAAUACCAGCCUGGAUCAAAACCCUAAGCAACCUGUUCUAUCUGGGCAUAUCAAACAACAGCCUCACAGGGGGGAUUCCAACAGCCCUUAUGGAUAUGCCAAUGCUAAAUUCAGAUAAGAGUGAAGCCCAUUUAGACCCAAGGGCAUUUGAGCUACCUGUUUAUUAUGGUCCAUCACUACAAUACCGUGUACCUAUUGCUUUGCGUAAUGUGCUAGAUCUAAGCAACAACAAAUUCACUGGUCAAAUCCCCCUCGAGAUUGGUCAGUUGAAAGCCCUCCUUUCACUCGAUUUCAGCUUUAACCACUUGACAGGACAAAUCCCACAAUCAAUAUGCAACCUCACAAACCUGCAGCUGUUAGACUUGUCAAGCAAUAAUCUAACAGGUGGAAUUCCAGAUGCAUUGAAUAGACUGAACUUCCUUUCAGCAUUCAACAUUUCAAACAAUGGCCUAGAAGGGCCAAUUCCAUCUGGAGGCCAGUUUAAUACAUUUCAGAAUUCUAGUUUCCUUGGGAAUCCAAAGCUGUGUGGUCCUAUUCUCACUCAUGAAUGUGGUUCAGAUUCAAUACCUCCAUCCUCCAGAAAAAAACGAGAUAAGAAGGCUGUUUUUGCAAUUGCAUUUGGCGUGUUCUUCGGAGGCAUUGCUAUUCUUUUGUUGUUGGCACGUCUCCUUGUCACAAUCAGGAAGAAGGGUUCUAUGGCAAAACAUAGAAGGGAGAGUAACGAAGAUGUUGAAGCAACUUCAUUCUACUCCAGUUCAGAGCAAACAUUAGUCGUCAUGUGGAUGCCCCAAGGCAAGGGAGAAGAAAGCAAGCUCAAAUUCACUGACAUUUUGAAAGCUACAAACAAUUUUGACAAGGAGAACAUCAUUGGUUGUGGAGGUUAUGGAUUAGUAUACAAGGCAGAGCUACCUGAUGGCUCCAAGCUGGCAAUCAAAAAGCUCAACAGUGAAAUGUGUCUUAUGGAAAGAGAGUUCAGUGCAGAGGUUGAUGCUCUUUCCAAUGCACAACAUGAAAAUAUUGUGCCGCUGUGGGGUUACUGCAUCCAGGGAAACUCAAAGCUCCUCAUAUAUUCCUACAUGGAAAACGGCAGCCUGGAUGAUUGGCUUCAUAACAGGGAUGACGAAGCUAGCUCAUGGCUUGACUGGCCAACUCGGCUGAAGAUCGCGCAAGGAGCAAGCCUUGGCCUUUCCCAUAUCCAUGAUGUCUGCAAGCCUCAGAUUGUCCACCGUGACAUCAAAUGCAGUAAUAUCUUACUGGACAAAGAAUUUAAAGCUUAUGUUGCAGAUUUUGGGCUAGCCAGAUUGAUCCUUCCCAACCAAACUCAUGUUACGACUGAGCUGGUCGGUACUAUGGGUUACAUUCCCCCUGAGUAUGGGCAAGCAUGGGUUGCUACGUUGAGAGGUGAUAGGUACAGUUUUGGAGUAGUCAUGCUUGAGCUGCUCACUGGAAUACGACCUGUCUCAAUCCUAUCAACGUCAAAAGAACUUGUCCCAUGGGUGCUGGAGAUGAGGUCUGAGGGGAAGCAGGUUGAGGUCCUGGAUCCAACACUUCGAGGCACAGGAUGUGAAGAUCAAAUGUUAAAGGUGCUUGAAGCUGCUUCCAAAUGUGUCGACCACAAUCAAUUCAUGAGGCCAACCAUCAUGGAAGUUGUCUCCUGCCUGGCCAGUAUAGAUGCUGACCCGCAGAUGCGAAAAUCAGCCAAGAUACAAUGA